GACGAACCGAGCGAACGUUGUUCGGAAUCACUGGGCUUAAAGGGCGCGUAGGCGGGCUGCCGCGUCCGGGGUGAAAUCCUCCCGCUCAACGGGAGAACGGCCUCGGAUACGGGCGGCCUCGAGGGGGGUAGGGGCAUCUGGAACUGUGAGUGGAGCGGUGAAAUGCGUUGAUAUUCACAGGAACUCCGGUGGCGAAGGCGAGGUGCUGGACCCCAUCUGACGCUGAGGCGCGAAAGCCAGGGGAGCGAAAGGG
RNAcentral lists this ribosomal RNA (253 nucleotides) under uncultured bacterium. RNAcentral's name for it is "partial 16S ribosomal RNA". It matches the Rfam family "Bacterial small subunit ribosomal RNA", at positions 524 to 776 of the family's 1533-position model. The record is from RNAcentral.